Molecule: ribosomal RNA, 248 nt
Filed under: uncultured bacterium
Lineage: Bacteria
Description: partial 16S ribosomal RNA
Rfam family: Bacterial small subunit ribosomal RNA
Source: RNAcentral
AGAGAAGCGAUGCGGCGACGACAGAGCGGAACUUCAAAGCCUGUCUCAGUUCGGAUUGGAGUCUGCAACCCGACUCCAUGAAGCUGGAUUCGCUAGUAAUCGCGCAUCAGCCACGGCGCGGUGAAUACGUUCCCGGGCCUUGUACACACCGCCUGUCAAGCCAUGGAAGCCGGGAGUGCCUGAAGUGUGCAACCGCAAGGAGCGCCCUAAGGUAAACCGGUGACUGGGCUAAGUCGUAACAAGGUAUC